This 187-nucleotide small RNA is filed under the name Drosophila guanche. The record is from RNAcentral. Lineage: Eukaryota; Metazoa; Arthropoda; Insecta; Diptera; Drosophilidae.
CGGCAAUGGUGAUGAUGGGCAACGCUGGCUGUGAUUGCUGCGGCAGCUGCUGGAUGAUUAUCUGCUGCUGCUGCUGCUGCUGUGGCUGCUGUAUCAGAUGUUGCUGCUGCUGCUGUGGUUGCUGCUGCUGUUGCAUCAGCUGUGGCUGCUGUUGUUGCCGCUGAUGCUGCUGCUGAUGCGGCUGCUG